UGAGUGGCGGACGGGUGAGUAACGCGUGGGUAACCUGCCUCACACAGGGGGAUAACAGUUGGAAACGGCUGCUAAUACCGCAUAAGCGCACAGUACCGCAUGGUACAGUGUGAAAAACUCCGGUGGUGUGAGAUGGACCCGCGUCUGAUUAGCUAGUUGGCAGGGCAACGGCCUACCAAGGCGACGAUCAGUAGCCGACCUGAGAGGGUGACCGGCCACAUUGGGACUGAGACACGGCCCAAACUCCUACGGGAGGCAGCAGUGGGGAAUAUUGCACAAUGGGGGAAACCCUGAUGCAGCGACGCCGCGUGAGCGAAGAAGUAUUUCGGUAUGUAAAGCUCUAUCAGCAGGGAAGAAGAAAUGACGGUACCUGACUAA
This 378-nucleotide ribosomal RNA is filed under the name uncultured bacterium. RNAcentral describes it as "bacterial SSU rRNA". It matches the Rfam family "Bacterial small subunit ribosomal RNA", at positions 92 to 486 of the family's 1533-position model. The record is from RNAcentral.